AAAGUCCUUCUGAUCGUCAACCUCCACUCGACUGUUGUCAUUAGGACCAGUUCGGGGGUUGUCCCAACGAGAAGAAAAACUCCAAGGAAGAGAAGAAGAGGCGAAGAAAAAUUGAUUCUUCUAUCCAUGAAUAGACGAUGGAAGAUCGAUGAUGAAUGAAAGAUUUUUUUGAGGGUUGAAGAACCACCACCCUCGAGCCUUCGGGUGGGAUCGGAGGACGAAAAAAGCCCGAAAAAAAGAAAGGCGGGGG
This 250-nucleotide long non-coding RNA is filed under the name Elaeis guineensis (African oil palm). RNAcentral describes it as "long non-coding RNA (EGUI_LNC001207)". The record is from RNAcentral. Lineage: Eukaryota; Viridiplantae; Streptophyta; Magnoliopsida; Arecales; Arecaceae.